RNAcentral lists this ribosomal RNA (103 nucleotides) under uncultured bacterium. RNAcentral describes it as "partial 16S ribosomal RNA". It matches the Rfam family "Bacterial small subunit ribosomal RNA", at positions 1384 to 1482 of the family's 1533-position model. The record is from RNAcentral.
UACACACCGCCCGUCACACCAUGGGAGCGGGUUCUGCCAGAAGUAGUUAGCCUAACCGCAAGGAGGGCGAUUACCACGGCAGGGUUCGUGACUGGGCGGGGUG